This is a long non-coding RNA of Lagopus leucura (white-tailed ptarmigan), 287 nucleotides long. RefSeq lists it as uncharacterized. Lineage: Eukaryota; Metazoa; Chordata; Aves; Galliformes; Phasianidae. The transcript has 3 exons. The record is from RefSeq and is a predicted model, not a curated record.
AGAUUCAUCCCUUGUGGAGCUUUUCCCCACGAGCUGAGAUCUUUGAGACAGGUUUGUCCCUGACGGAGGCUGCAGAUGUUGAAGUGGUGUUCGAUUCCUCGGCCGCCAGCAGCCAGCGGGAACUUUGCUCCAGUAAAAACAAAAGAACAAUCUCUGCCCCUUAAAAACAGAAGAGAGGAGAAACGUUCCCAUAGUGGUGAUCCAGCUGGGCGCAGCACUGACCACGCACAGCCCCAGGCAUUGCAGGGAGUGCAGCAGAGCUCCCUGCAGGCACACAGUGUGCCUGA